AUUGAACGCUGGCGGCAUGCCUUACACAUGCAAGUCGAACGGCAGCACGGGGGCAACCCUGGUGGCGAGUGGCGGACGGGUGAGUAAUGCAUCGGAACGUGCCCUGAAGUGGGGGAUAACGCAGCGAAAGCUACGCUAAUACCGCAUAUUCUGUGAGCAGGAAAGCAGGGGAUCGCAAGACCUUGCGCUUUGGGAGCGGCCGAUGUCGGAUUAGCUAGUUGGUGGGGUAAGGCCUACCAAGGCGACGAUCCGUAGCGGGUCUGAGAGGAUGAUCCGCCACACUGGGACUGAGACACGGCCCAGACUCCUACGGGAGGCAGCAGUGGGGAAUUUUGGACAAUGGGCGAAGCCUGAUCCAGCCAUGCCGCGUGAGUGAAGAAGGCCUUCGGG
RNAcentral lists this ribosomal RNA (390 nucleotides) under uncultured bacterium. RNAcentral describes it as "bacterial SSU rRNA". It matches the Rfam family "Bacterial small subunit ribosomal RNA", at positions 29 to 422 of the family's 1533-position model. The record is from RNAcentral.